RNAcentral lists this ribosomal RNA (468 nucleotides) under uncultured bacterium. RNAcentral describes it as "bacterial SSU rRNA". It matches the Rfam family "Bacterial small subunit ribosomal RNA", at positions 30 to 479 of the family's 1533-position model. The record is from RNAcentral.
AUUGAACGCUGGCGGAACGCUUUACACAUGCAAGUCGAACGGUAACGUGGGGAGGAGCUUGCUCCGCCCCGACGACGAGUGGCGAACGGGUGAGUAAUACAUCGGAACGUGUCCGCUCGUGGGGGACAACCAGCCGAAAGGUUGGCUAAUACCGCAUGAGUUCUACGGAAGAAAGAGGGGGGACCCGCAAGGGGCCUCUCGCGAGCGGAGCGGCCGAUGACUGAUUAGCCGGUUGGUGAGGUAACGGCUCACCAAAGCAACGAUCAGUAGCUGGUCUGAGAGGACGACCAGCCACACUGGGACUGAGACACGGCCCAGACUCCUACGGGAGGCAGCAGUGGGAAUUUUGGACAAUGGGCGCAAGCCUGAUCCAGCUAUUCCGCGUGUGGGAUGAAGGCCCUCGGGUUGUAAACCACUUUUGUAGAGAACGAAAAGACAUCUUCGAAUAAGGAUGUUGCUGACGGUACU